Molecule: long non-coding RNA, 239 nt
Filed under: Lathyrus oleraceus (garden pea)
Lineage: Eukaryota; Viridiplantae; Streptophyta; Magnoliopsida; Fabales; Fabaceae
Description: Pisum sativum (pea) long non-coding RNA (PSAT_LNC039709)
Source: RNAcentral
AAAGAAGUGUGAUAGAAGGGAUGGUAUGAACCAAAGAAUAUUGUUUUGAGCUCCAACAAGGGUGAAAAGAUGAACCCAAGAGUAAGGUGGCUAUUACCAAUACGCGGACCAGCAGGCCGCCACUAUAAGGUAAAGCCAAAAAGGCGAAGAAAUAGGUGUUUGGGCACAGUCGCAAACAUUUCUUGGUUCACAAGGUGACGCAAGGAGGAUCACAAAGAGGUAGUGUGUUUGGCUCAAAG